AACUCUUCUACUUGUCACAUUCCUAAAAAUAAUAUAAAUAACUAUUCAGUAAAAAAAUGCAUCGCUAGAAAAUUAUCAUGAAGAUUAAGUUGAAAGAAACAAUUAAUAAAGCUACAAUUGCUAUAGAUUUUGAAUAAAAGCAAAACAGUGGUGUACUAAUCUUAGAAAUAUACCGAAUACUGCAAAAAUACCAAAAAUAUACCAAAAGUCGUAUUUGGUAUAUCGAUGAAGUAGUUCAUUCGAAAUAUACCAUUGAUGUCAAAAUAUACAAGAUUGUCAAAAAAAGCAAUUGCUAAUGGCAUUAUUAGUUAGCUCUCCAAUUAUGGGCAAGUCAAAGUCAAAGUGAAAACCCUUUUAAAUGUUGCAUACUGUGUCUGCUCCAUUUCGGAAGUUGCACUUCUGCCACAACUCCCGAAAAAGUCACUCGAAAUGCAAACAGACGGCGAGAGCGACACCCUUGACCAGGAGGAGAAGGACAACGCAAUGAUAAUUGCUUGGGACACAUUUCUUAUGCCUGUCGCUGACACUGACGCCUUCUUAGUGGCCACUGGCUAAACUCGGAAUUGGGAUUGGGAUUCCGAAUGAGAAUGGGAAUGGGAAUGGGAUGCGUAAGCUGUUAUCAGCGGAAUUUUAAAGCGCAUCUUGAGAAUAAAAAAAAAGGGAACAUGGACAUGGGCAAUUCAUCGCUGAAGUCUGCGGUCUGUCCGAGCUCUGAGAACUGAGAGCUGAGAACUGGAGGCUGUCUUGGCUAAUUCGCUGGCAUUUUCCUUGUUUCUUUUUUGGUCGCUUCUCUUUUUGUUCCUCAAUUGCCAGCCUGUGUGUGUUUUGGGGGAGUGUGCCAAGAAAUGAAAUUCUUGAUAUCUUUUGUUUGUUGUCACUGCCGACGCUGUCCUAACGCAUCUUUGUCCUUUCGCUUCGUCUCUAAUUAAAAAAAAAAGAGGAAUAAAGUUAAAAGUGCCAGGAGAAGCCGAGUGACCGCACUAAUUAGCCUCAAAGCCAGCAACAUUUAUUUGAAUUUAGCUACCGUUUUGGAGUUGGAAUCUGCUGGCAGUGCAUUUCUUUCAAUAAUUACAACAGUUUCGGUUGCAUUCGCCGAGAUCUCUUUCAAUUUUCGCAUUCUUUGGCUGCUCUUGUCAGUUGUAAAACAAUUCGAUAAAUCUGUAAACAUGUCACAUGCAACCGAAUCAAUUUUCGCAUCAAUUCGUGGGCAUUGUGUGAAAUGAAAUGACAACUUCAACUUCCCAACUUCCCAACUUGAGAGCACAACUCCAAGUCCAACCAAGGACAUUCGGUUGGACAUGUUCGAAGCAGUCCGGUUACGAGGAUAGCAUUUAAAACUAACCGCAAAGCUCAACGUAUCAAAAGUCUCCAAAUAAAAUUGAAAAUGUCAGAGCAGAGACGUGGUCAAGA
This is a long non-coding RNA of Drosophila sulfurigaster albostrigata, 1410 nucleotides long. RefSeq lists it as uncharacterized. The record is from RefSeq and is a predicted model, not a curated record. NCBI's taxonomy places the organism in Eukaryota, Metazoa, Arthropoda, Insecta, Diptera, Drosophilidae. The transcript is spliced from 3 exons.